This 259-nucleotide ribosomal RNA is filed under the name uncultured bacterium. RNAcentral's name for it is "partial 16S ribosomal RNA". It matches the Rfam family "Bacterial small subunit ribosomal RNA", at positions 15 to 257 of the family's 1533-position model. The record is from RNAcentral.
GAUCCUGGCUCAGGAUGAACGCUGGCGGCGUGCCUAACACAUGCAAGUCGAACGAAGUUAGACAGAGGAAGUUUUCGGAUGGAAUCAGUAUAACUUAGUGGCGGACGGGUGAGUAACGCGUGGGAAACCUGCCCUGUACCGGGGGAUAACACUUAGAAAUAGGUGCUAAUACCGCAUAAGCGCACGGAACCGCAUGGUUCCGUGUGAAAAACUCCGGUGGUACAGGAUGGUCCCGCGUCUGAUUAGCCAGUUGGCAGGG